This 68-nucleotide transfer RNA is filed under the name Paramesotriton caudopunctatus (Guizhou warty newt). Its description in RNAcentral is "tRNA-Glu". It matches the Rfam family "tRNA". From Rfam's summary of the family: Transfer RNA (tRNA) molecules are approximately 80 nucleotides in length. Their secondary structure includes four short double-helical elements and three loops (D, anti-codon, and T loops). The record is from RNAcentral. Lineage: Eukaryota; Metazoa; Chordata; Amphibia; Caudata; Salamandridae.
GUUUUUAUAGUUGAACACAACGCUGGUUUUUCAGGUCAGAGGUCUUGGUUAAAGUCCAGGUGAGAAUA